GGCAGGCGGGCGCGCGCCGGGGCCGGGCUUCCCAUUGGCCCCCAGGGCCGCGCCCCCGCCCCCGCCCGGCCGCGCCGCGCUCCGACCCCUCGCCCGGGCCGCCGCGUCCGCUCCACGCGCGCGCUCCUGAGCGGGGCCGGGGCCUGCGCCCCCGAGGCGCUGCUCCCCUCCAGCCCGAGGGGCCGGGGCUCCCGCCCUCACACCCCAGAGGGCGCGGCCCCCCGCGCCUCCCGGCGGCGGCCCCGUCCGCCCUGAGCGUCUCUGCCCCCUGCAGGUAUCUCGCAGCUGGACCCCAGAAGCGCCCCACCCUGAGGGCCAGGCCCGGGGAAGUCGUGGACGCUGCUAGGAGCGGCUCCAUUUUCCAGAGAAGGAAGCCAAGGAAGAGGCAUGACUGGCCGGGCUGAGACACCACGGCGUGUUAAAAUGUACCCUCAGUCCUCAGGACGGAAUGGCCAGGCUGCUGGAUGAGCUACCAAACAAUGUCAAAGGCCAAGGUUUGGGGCGGUUACCUGGGGAAUUGAACCCUGGAUCUUCCCACUAAGUUACAUCCCAGUCUUUUUUUAUUUAUCCAAUUAUUUUCGAGACAAGGUCUCACCAAGUAGCUGACUUGCCCAGACCAGGCUCAAACUUAUCCUCCUGUAUCAUCCUCCCAGAGUGCACAGGGCCGAGGUGUGGGAAGGAUCUGUUGGGGGGGUUACAAGUAGGCAGCUGGCUGGAAGGGGGCGUCGGCAUUCCAGGAGGGGCAGGGUGUUUGGGGAUAAUUUGGGUGAGGAGCCUAAAGAGGUAGACUGAGGCCGGGCUGUACGAUGCAUCAGGAAUUUGGACCUGAUUCUCCAGGGAACAGGAAGACCUGGAACAAAGGCUGGCCGGCCAGGAGGGGAUCCGAACACGCCUUCCUGCCCGUGUCUCGUGUUUCUUAGCAUCUUUAGUGAAGCCGAGGGUCCAGGGGAGUGAAGUCUCUCCCUUCUGGGGCUGCACCCUCCAGGACACCUGCCCCCCAUCUUUACACCACACUCCACCCUUCUCCAGCCAAAGAUGUUAUCCUGUCACCAGGUCGGGCUGGUCAUCAUGCUGCUGUUGGCUGUGUCUCUUCCUGGCUCAUAAACUCAAUGACUGGUUUCCUACUGCCACCUCAUCACCAGCCUGCAGCCCGCGGCACAGCUGAGCCCAGGGCAGGCGUCUCCCCAGGGCUGUGUCACAAGGCACAUGAUGACGUCCGCCCUCCGGAAGUGCUCCCGCCCCGCUGCACCUACCCUAACCUGCAGUCUCUGAGUCUCCCAGGAGUGUCUGCUCCAGCUGCGUUCCAGCGUGAAGGAGCCAGCGUGGUGCAGCCAGGGCCGCUCAGGAUUCUGCCUGCUUCUCCUACAAGAGACCUUGCACAGGCUGCAGGAUUUCCUAAGUCUCCUUCUUUGCCUGAGAAAAAGAACAGACCAGCACUCGAGAGGCUGAGGCAGGAGAAGUCCAGUGAGUUCAAAGCCAAUCUUGGUUACAUAGUGAACUCAAGUCCAGCCUGACCUACGUGGCUGGAUCCAGUCUUUAAAAAACAAAAAAAGUGAGUGUGUCCUAGAUAGAGGCUUGGAUUAGGGUACCUAGGUGGAUGGAGUUUCUCUCUCCCCUCCGUAGUCCAGAGCCUUCCAAGCACCUAGGAUCCUGCCUGACAGAGUAGCCACUCAGUACGUAACGGAUGAGGAACUAAAUGAAUUGCUGAUAGAUUUUCUUUAAUGGAGUUCAUGUCUCAAGAGGGUUUAGAAAGAAUGUACCCCGUAGGUUUUCCAGGGAUCUUUGAGAUUUACAGAACGUAAAAUCAGGAAGGUCUAAUUUCAGAACUGCACUGGAUACUCAAAGGGAAGUGUGAUGUAUUCAGUUCUAUUAAAAACACAAACAAAAGCUCCUCCCUAUCUGGAGCCCUUAGCCCUGUAUCUUCUGGCCCCCACUGUCCCUUAGAGAAAGAGAUGGAGGAAAAGAGUCCAGCAUCAGGUUGGGCCACGGGCAGCUGGUGAGCUCAGUGGACCUGUGGUCACUGUGAUGCCACUGCAGGAAGCUGCCAGUCACAGAGCUCAGCCCGGAGCCUGGAAGCCAGGAGGCUGGGCACUUGGUUCCAGGUGCACCUGAUGCUUGCCCCAGCCAUGCCGGCACUUUGCUUUUCCUUUGGUUGGUUGGUUGGUUUGUUUUUGAGACAGGGUCUCACUGUGUAGCUCAGGCUCGACUUGAACUCACAGUAUAGUCCAGGCUGGCCUCCUGCUUCAGCCUUCCACCCGAGGGCUGAGAUUACAUGUGUGAGCCACCAAACCUGGCAAUAUUGUCAUUUUUCAAAGGUCUCCCCUGCAAUGGCUUGAUAGUCCUCAAAAGGGCUCUGAGGUGGGACUCGGUCUGGACGCGGUGACAAGUUGUUGUCAGCUGGGCCAGCUGCCCGCACAGGCAGCACUGGGGGCCCUGGAGCAGUGGGUACCAGGAUUGACUUUGCCAACCCCAGUGCUGCACACCCAGCCCGGUGCCUGCCAAUGACCUGCUGUCUGCCUCUACAUGGGGACUAUGUUGUUCCCACUCCAUAGAGGAGCAAAAUGUCACAUUUGCUCAAGAGCACGUUGCUAGAAGCAGGACUCCAGGAUUCUGUUUGUCGUCCAUCUGAGCCCAAAACAGUGUCUAAGCCUUUGACCCCAAGAAUCCUAGCCAACACUCUGCACAGCCCAGGUCUUGGGGGCUUGGCUGCCUUUGCUGGGGACAUCAGUUCCCGGGUCUGGAGGCAGCAGGAAGCGCUCACAGGACACAGAGAUGAGCUGAGGGUCCUCAGAGGCAGCUACUAAAACGUGCCCCAAGGGAGGAGGCCCGAAGAAAGCAGCCAGCCACUAGGCACCUCAGCCUGGGGAUGGCCACCAGAAUUCCCUGCAUUAGCUGCAAAUGGGCAGCCCAGCCCAGUCUGGCUUCUGCGGCUUGGCCUGGUGACUCCAUGGCUGUAAGGGGAAAAUUCUUUUAAUUUUUACUUAUUCAUUUUUUAAUUUUCCCCCAGAUACAGAAUCCUACCACUCAAGAGGCUGAGGCAGGAAGAUUGAAAGUUUAAAGAGGGGCAGCUCAGCAGCUCAGCACCUGCCUGGCAAACACAUGGUCCUGAGUUUGAUUCCCAGGACAGGACCCACUCCCAAAAAGAAAGCCAGCCUGGGCUGCAUGGUGAGACCCUGUCUCAAAAGAAAAAGGAUUGAGAAUGUAGUUCUUUGUUUCCAGAGUUUAAUGCGAAUAUCACAAGCGGAUGGAGAAAGAAGGAGGAGGAGGAGGAGAGGAAGACGAAGAAGGAGAAACAGAAGCAGAAGCAGCAGGGGGAGAGGGAGAGGAGAAAAGUGGGAGAAAAAAUACAAAUAGGAGGCGAAGCCAAGCAUGGUGGCACACACCUGUAAUCCCAGCACUUGGGGAGGCUGAGGCAGGAGGAUCACCAUGAGUUCAAACCCUGUCUCAAAAGAAAAAAAAAAAAAAAGAAAUAGGAGGGAGAAGAAGGGGAGGAGGAAGAACUCCAACUUCCAAAGGGGUACCCCCUGGGCUCAGGAAUCAGACUGGCACCUGUGGGCUUGUUCACCUUUUCCAGUGCUGCCCUUGGCAGAAGACCCGAGAGAAUUCCCAUACUCAGCGCGUCAGCCGGGACAAGCUGGUGAGAAUUCCCAGGGUAGGGAGCCUCCCUCCCCGCAGAGACCAGGCAGCUCACUACUUCAGGGUACAGCCUCAGCCCUUUGUUUUAUUCUGAGCCAGAGUCUCAUAGUCACUUGCCUAGGGUGGGGUCCAUUUUGACAUCCUCCUGCCUCAGCUUCCCAGGCAUGCACCUCCACACUCAGCGAAGGCAGCUCGUUUCUGCAUCUCCAAAGAUGGGCCAAAGGUUGACAUUUUCUAUCUGUGCUCCCUCCCUGACUGUUUCAUUUCCAGCAGGGAAUGUGGUCCCCACCUCUGAGGACACUCGAGUCAAAUAUGCUAUGUUCUGUCCACACUGUGGCCGGGAGGAAGAGGACAAGAGGAGGGAAAGGCCAGGACAGAAGGGAGCCCAGCUCCCAGCAUGGCUGCACUGAACUGAGAAUCAGGAAAUGGGGCUCUUUUCUCCUCUUCCUUCCUUUCCUUCCUUUCUUUCUUUCCUUCUUUGUUUCUUUCUGGAGAUGGAGUCUCGUUGUCUUUCCCAGAUGGGAUUUCAGCUCUUGGGCUCCAAUGAUUCUCCUGCCUCAGCCUCCCCAGUGGCUGGGAGCAUGUGCGUGCACCACAGUGCCAGUCAGAACACCUGGGUCCUAUCGCGCUUACUUCCCUGGAACUGGAGGAAACCGAGGGGUAACUUUAAAAAAAUGAAAAACUGUGGUAACACACAAUUGUAACCCCAUUUCCUAAGGAGGCUGAGGCAGGAGGAUUGCUGGAUCUUAGACCAGCCUGGGAAAUAUAGUAAGUUCUCAACUCAAAAAAAAAAAGCAAAUGAACAAACAAAAAUAGCCCGGUGUAGAUGCUCACACCUGUAAUCCCAGCACUGGGAGGCCGAGGCAGGAGGAUGGUUACCAGUUCAACACCAACCUGGGCUACAAAAUAAACUCAAAACCAACCUGAA
Cavia porcellus (domestic guinea pig) is the source of this 4564-nucleotide long non-coding RNA. RefSeq lists it as uncharacterized. Lineage: Eukaryota; Metazoa; Chordata; Mammalia; Rodentia; Caviidae. The transcript is spliced from 2 exons. The record is from RefSeq and is a predicted model, not a curated record.